RNAcentral lists this ribosomal RNA (507 nucleotides) under Candida albicans. RNAcentral describes it as "eukaryotic LSU rRNA". The stretch from base 140 to 293 matches the Rfam family "5.8S ribosomal RNA". The record is from RNAcentral. Lineage: Eukaryota; Fungi; Ascomycota; Pichiomycetes; Serinales; Debaryomycetaceae.
UAUGCCUUGCUUAUUGCACCACAUGUGUUUUUCUUUGAAACAAACUUGCUUUGGCGGUGGGCCCAGCCUGCCGCCAGAGGUCUAAACUUACAACCAAUUUUUUAUCAACUUGUCACACCAGAUUAUUACUAAUAGUCAAAACUUUCAACAACGGAUCUCUUGGUUCUCGCAUCGAUGAAGAACGCAGCGAAAUGCGAUACGUAAUAUGAAUUGCAGAUAUUCGUGAAUCAUCGAAUCUUUGAACGCACAUUGCGCCCUCUGGUAUUCCGGAGGGCAUGCCUGUUUGAGCGUCGUUUCUCCCUCAAACCGCUGGGUUUGGUGUUGAGCAAUACGACUUGGGUUUGCUUGAAAGACGGUAGUGGUAAGGCGGGAUCGCUUUGACAAUGGCUUAGGUCUAACCAAAAACAUUGCUUGCGGCGGCAACGUCUACCACGUAUAUCUUCAAACUUUGACCUCAAAUCAGGUAGGACUACCCGCUGAACUUAAGCAUAUCAAAAGCCGGAGGAA